CCAGAAGCCGCUUGUGGGAAAAUAUCACUUACCCUUAGCAUCUGGGUCCUGUGAUUGUUAUCCAAAGAGACAGAGUGUGCUUUCUCCAUGUACUGUGAAACACAUCCAUCUGGAUCCACCUAUUUAAGCUACAUGCCUAGCCUCCAGAGUCAUCCAGACUUUUAGCAUAAGAACUCAAAUGAGAAAUCAUGAAGAAUGCAUUAACUGAAUCCAAUAUCACCUACAGGACCCUGGGCCCAUUGCACUUUGUAAUUGUAUUACUUUUCUUCUGGUUAUCUUCAUAGGAUCUUAGGUAUACUCUCUCUGAAAAGUGUUAAAGACAACUUCUCCCUGGGCCUGAGAAUAAAUUAUCUUUUUCCUAUCGCUGUAUAUUUUUGUUUGUUUGUCUCGUUUUUUUGUUUUUUGUUUUUUCCUGGCUGGAUAGGGAAGUGAUCAAGCCACAAGUGAGGAGCUGCAGUGGCCCAUGAACAAUACAUAGGUCCAUCUCCUGGAACUUGUGACCACUCGCCCAGGAUCGCACUCAUGGCCACAACAAAGAUGAUGGCUUUUCUGUUUCUCCGGCUGCACCACAUCAGACACCUGUGGCAAAUAUUGAGGCAACACUAUGUGAAGUCUGACUAGUGACUCUUAGAGACUCCAACUAAUGGCUUCUCUGGGAGGGAUAAAAUAGGGCACAUGAAAUUAUCUUGUUGAGAAUACAUAGGUAUGUUUAUAGACUCACAUAUAUUUCAUUUAUAAAUAUAAAAUUAUUUUAGACUGAGUUACAAUUUUUAUGGUAAAAAUAAGUAGAAUAAUAGCAUUUAAAUAAUACUUUUAAACUUUUUCAUAUUCUUUCCUAAAUACCUUGAUUAACAUUUAUUUGGUAACAUUAUUUGUCCCAUUCUUUAAAAAGAAGGAAAAUAGGCUAUGAGAAAGUAAGUACAUUCAAGUUCCAAUUAUUCUUAAUAUGUUGUAUCAUAGUAUGUCAUUUGCAUCAAAGUCAGUUACACAGCAAACUAACCAACUGCACAAACAAAAAUAAUAAUAUGAAAGUAGAAAUUUACAUUUGAAACUCUUAACUACCAUCGGUACCAAAUAUACUUUUGGUUAUCUUGUCAAAUUAUAGGGAUGAGUGGCUGAGACCAUGCAGGUAUGUUCGGUAGGGUUGAAUGGAGUGUUAGAGUGUUGCUAUUGGCCUUGAAAUAGAUUGAUUUUUUUUUCUUUUUUUUGCCUUCUACCUGGGAUCAUGGUCUCUGCCUUACUUGCACAGGGUCCUCAUUAUCAAAGCAGAUUAUCUGGCUCAUAUUACACAAUAUGUUAAAUAGCUUACUUCUUUAAAUAUACACACUUUCACCAUAUUCAAAUGUGAAUACUCAGAGCUUAAAAACACUCAUGAG
This 1376-nucleotide long non-coding RNA is filed under the name Homo sapiens (human). Its description in RNAcentral is "HSALNT0315167". Lineage: Eukaryota; Metazoa; Chordata; Mammalia; Primates; Hominidae. The record is from RNAcentral.